UCUCUACAGAUUUCCUUUUUCUUCUCUGCGAUGACUCUCGGUUCCACAGCAAAAGAAAUGCACCAACACCCAAAGCUUCACAGAUCCAGGGCCAAUAGUCCAAAACUCAUCCAUCUGCAGGAUCGGACUCCGAUGUCGUGGAUGACUCCCAUUGCUUCUUCCAAAUCUUCAUCUUCUUCUUCGUCUUCUGCAACUUCCCAGAAAUACAGAGGAUCCAUACCGUCCGCCUAAAAAAAGCGGGUGACGUCGCCCUGACGUCACACCCACUCGGGCUCUCGGGCUGGCACAAGUUGCCAGGCCUGUCCCUCGGGCUGGGCCUGUCCCUCUGGCUGCCACACGCUGGACCUCUCCCGUCGGGCUCUAUGGCACUGUUCAACCCACUGUCCCCCGAGUUAUAGCUCCCGCUGGAGCUGCUCUUAGUAAUUAAGUUUAAGGACCGAUGUGAUCAAUGCCUUUGUAUCAUAUUUUUCAAUUCAGUGUCAUACAUAUAAUUGUUUUUAGGGUUUGAAACUAGUAUAAUAAUUUAAGAAAGAGAAGAGUUUCGAACUCGAAACGCAUCAAUAAAAACUUAAUACCAUAUAAAAACUAGUA
This is a long non-coding RNA of Malus domestica (apple), 591 nucleotides long. RefSeq lists it as uncharacterized. The record is from RefSeq and is a predicted model, not a curated record. NCBI's taxonomy places the organism in Eukaryota, Viridiplantae, Streptophyta, Magnoliopsida, Rosales, Rosaceae.